CCUAGCCUAUCACACUGUCGCUCACUCUGCCAAGGCAGUAUGAUAUCAUUAUUUGCGAACUUCGAACUAGUUUUGGUUCGUAUUUCUAGCACUGAGCUUCAUAAUUUUCGAAGAAUGGAUAUGUUAUUGUGCUUAGUUGUAUGAUUCUUUCUAUUUCUCUAUUUUUUUUUUCUUCUACGUUUUAUUUCGGGACUAAAUGGAUUUUUUUUGAGCAUAUUCAUUUGAAUAUAACAGCCAAGAAUUUGCCAUCGAAUUUUCGAAAUGAAUUUUUCGGCAACAAUAAAAUAGUUUCCACUAGGUGCAACUUAAAGCCCAUGGAUAAUAUCAACGGAUGUGUGAAAGAAUUUGGCAAUUCAACAAAUUCUAAGUGAAACAGUCGGAAAUUAUGACCUUCAGGAAAAAGGUAUGUUUGCUAGAAAAAAUUUGUAUUCCAAUUUAGCUAAUUCAGUAAGGUGCCAUUUACCAAGAAUAAGAAAGGAAUUUCAAAAAAUGCUGAAAGUCUUUCUUCUGUUAUGGUGAAGAUAAAACUAAAUACUACACGCAUGAGAGCGGAAAAUGAUUUUCUAAGAAGGGGAUGAUUAGCUGGAAUAAUCACUAAUAUUCCAUUUCAUAAACACAUUCUUAUGAUUACUGAGACUUAUAAAAAAAUUUUCCUGCCAAUGACUGCAGAAGAAAAGUUCGAAUGUUAUUUUAGUGAUAGUAUGGGAUCUGCAGAAGCAACCAAAUACCACAAAGAAAUUCCGGAGGUGAAAUCCAAUUUCCAUCCAAGUCAUCUGGCAAAUAGUAGGAUUAAUCCCAUUAAAGAGCAAUUGAAUAUUGCUAUGAAAAAUAGAGACUUCUUCAUCGGAUAUCUUGAAAUGGGUCUGGAGUGAUUGAGAAAAUGAGGAAAAAUGCAACAACUUAUGAAAAUAGAAUAUAGAAGUUACCUGUGAAGAAAAUCCUUUUGCUGUUGUAAUGGUGACCCCUAUUAUGAAAAGAUCUCGCAGAUUACCAAUAUUUCAAGAUAUCAUUUUUGUCGAUUCAGCUAGUUCCUGUGUUCUGCUAAGUCAUUCUGCGACUUGUGUUGCAGGAGCAGUAUUUGUGGGAAUCUUCAUCAUAAAAGGUAGACAGAAGAAUCAGAUAAACAAGUCUUUGCCUUAGUUAUGAAUAUUUUAAAAGAACCAACUUUCCAUCAUAAAGAGAUGUACAAGAUAAUGUCACUUGACUAACUUGAGAAUCUUACCGAAUGAAUUUAAUAAUUCAUUAUAUAGAAGUUAAAAGGGAAAAUCUUUGAAAUUGUUUUAGAGUAUGAUAAAAUAAUUUCCAGUUCUAGGUAUUAAUAAUCAGAUAUAUUUUUGAAAACAAAAUUUAGUUUUUUUUCUUUUAAAAUUGUUAUUAUUAUUAUUAAAAGAUAUUUUAAAAAUUAUAAAUAAGUUUGUGUUUAAUAAUAAAUCUGUGGUAGUUAAUUUCAAAAGUAAAAACUGGUUUUCUGCAACCAUUUUCUCCCUACAAUAUUGGAAAAGGCUCUAAGGGGUCUAGAAAUAAUAUCAUCUGAAAGAUAGUUGGAAACAAUGUUGGCAACUCUUGGCAGUAAUGUUCCUCUAAAGAGAAAGGCUGGAGCACCUGUAAGCGUGCUGCUCUGUUUCUCGAAGAGCUAUUGGAAUUACUUCAGGCAGCAAACUUCUAACAUGUGGUUGUCCAUCUAAAGGUCUUCAAGUUCCCAAAAUAAUAAAGCAUAUUCUCACCAUAAAUAUUAAAUUAAAUUCACCUAAUUUUAAAAAACAUUAGAAUGUUUUCUUAAAAAGAGCUUUGAAUGAUUUUUUUUCAAUUUUUAUAUGCACACAAAUUAAUUACACACAAUUAAACAAUUAAGUUUAUUACAAAGUUAAUGUUUAUUACAAAAUGUACCAUUAAAAAUUUUAGAUUUAUUGCAAUAUUUAUUUGU
Molecule: long non-coding RNA, 1924 nt
Organism: Argiope bruennichi
Lineage: Eukaryota; Metazoa; Arthropoda; Arachnida; Araneae; Araneidae
Exons: 4
Source: RefSeq, a predicted model, not a curated record